RNAcentral lists this long non-coding RNA (221 nucleotides) under Capsicum annuum. RNAcentral's name for it is "long non-coding RNA (CANN_LNC018386)". The record is from RNAcentral. Lineage: Eukaryota; Viridiplantae; Streptophyta; Magnoliopsida; Solanales; Solanaceae.
UAGCUGAACGUCACCGGAACAGUGACCCGCCGUGAAAAUCGUGCUCCUUCCUCUACUCUCCCUAUCCCUUUGUCAUCGUCGAUUGGAUAUUCACAUAUUACGGUGAAAUCGACAAUUUUUUUUUGUAUUCCGUGUGCGACGAUAUGGGUGUUUCUUUGUGUGAUGUGUGGGUAUGGUGUAUUUUGUGAAGAUGGGAUGGAAUUGUGAGGGGUCUGUGUAGG